AACUGCGAGUGAAGCGGGAAAAGCUCAAAUUUUGAAUCUGGUAGUCUUUUUGGCUGUCCGAGUUGUAAUCUAGAGAAGCGUCUUCCGUGCUGGACCGUGUACAAGUCUCCUGGAAGGGAGCGUCAUAGAGGGUGAGAAUCCCGUCUUUGACACGGACUACCCAGGGCUUAUGUGUUGCGCUCUCAACGAGUCGAGUUGUUUGGGAAUGCAGCUCAAAAUGGGUGGUAAAUUCCAUCUAAAGCUAAAUAUGGGCGAGAAACCGAUAGCGAACAAGUACCGUGAGGGAAAGAUGAAAAGAACUUUGGAAAGAGAGUUAAACAGUACGUGAAAUUGCUGAAAGGGAAACGCUUGAUGUCAGUCGCGUCGGCUGGGGAUCAACCUUGCUUCAUUCGUGGUGUGGGGUGUAUUUCUUAGUCGACGGGUCAGCAUCAGUUUCGGUCGCUGUACAAGGAUGAGAGAAAUGUGGCACUCUUCGGAGUGUGUUUAUAGUCUUUCGUCGCAUGCAGUGGCUUGGGACUGAGGAACUCUGCACGAAAUUCGCUUUGUGUUAUAGGAUGCUGGCAUAAUGGCCUUAAGCGACCCGUCUUGAAACACGGACCAAGGAGUCUAACAUGCCUGCGAGUGUUUGGGUGGCAAACUCGAGCGCGAAAUGAAAGUGAAAGUUGAGACCUCUGUCAUGGAGGGCAUCGACGCCCGGACCAGAGUCUUUGACGACGGAUCUGCGGUAGAGCAUGCAUGUUGGGACCCGAAAGAUGGUGAACUAUGCCUGAAUAGGGUGAAGCCAGAGGAAACUCUGGUGGAGGCUCGUAGCGAUUCUGACGUGCAAAUCGAUCG
RNAcentral lists this ribosomal RNA (834 nucleotides) under Austroboletus amazonicus. Its description in RNAcentral is "eukaryotic LSU rRNA". It matches the Rfam family "Eukaryotic large subunit ribosomal RNA", at positions 85 to 904 of the family's 3401-position model. Lineage: Eukaryota; Fungi; Basidiomycota; Agaricomycetes; Boletales; Boletaceae. The record is from RNAcentral.